CAAGUCGAGCGGAAAGGCCCUUCGGGGUACUCGAGCGGCGAACGGGUGAGUAACACGUGAGUAACCUGCCCCUGACUCUGGGAUAAGCCCGGGAAACUGGGUCUAAUACCGGAUACGACCACUCCACGCAUGUGGUGGUGGUGGAAAGUUUUUUCGGUUGGGGAUGGGCUCGCGGCCUAUCAGCUUGUUGGUGGGGUAGUGGCCUACCAAGGCGACGACGGGUAGCCGGCCUGAGAGGGCGACCGGCCACACUGGGACUGAGACACGGCCCAGACUCCUACGGGAGGCAGCAGUGGGGAAUCUUGCGCAAUGGGCGAAAGCCUGACGCAGCGACGCCGCGUGGGGGAUGACGGCCUUCGGGUUGUAAACCUCUUUCAGCAGGGACGAAGGUGACGUGUACCUGCAGAAGAAGCGCCGGCUAACUACGUGCCAGCAGCCGCGGUAAUUCA
Molecule: ribosomal RNA, 449 nt
Filed under: Actinomadura sp. YN-5-3
Lineage: Bacteria; Bacillati; Actinomycetota; Actinomycetes; Streptosporangiales; Thermomonosporaceae
Description: bacterial SSU rRNA
Rfam family: Bacterial small subunit ribosomal RNA
Source: RNAcentral